GGUACUCACAAAGAUCCUACACAAAAAUCCCCUAGCACCCGUCUUGUCAUAAUGGCGAGACCGAUCCAUCUCGACCGUCUCGUCAUCACGGCAAGACCAGCUCAGCCCGCCUCACCGGCGAGACCAACUCCAUCUCGGGUCGGCCUCAUCUCCACUCCAUAUCACCCUCUAGCUCUCAUGAAGACUCCAUCUUGCCCUCUAGCCCUCAUGGAGACUCCAUAUAGCCCUCAUGGACACUCCAUCUCGCCC
Molecule: long non-coding RNA, 249 nt
Filed under: Brassica napus (rape)
Lineage: Eukaryota; Viridiplantae; Streptophyta; Magnoliopsida; Brassicales; Brassicaceae
Description: long non-coding RNA (BNAP_LNC023412)
Source: RNAcentral